Molecule: ribosomal RNA, 440 nt
Filed under: uncultured bacterium
Lineage: Bacteria
Description: partial 16S ribosomal RNA
Rfam family: Bacterial small subunit ribosomal RNA
Source: RNAcentral
CCUACGGGAGGCAGCAGUGGGGGAUAUUGCACAAUGGGGGAAACCCUGAUGCAGCGACGCCGCGUGUGGGAAGACGGUCCUCUGGAUUGUAAACCACUGUCCCCAGGGACGAAGAUGACGGUACCUGGGGAGGAAGCUCCGGCUAACUACGUGCCAGCAGCCGCGGUAAUACGUAGGGAGCGAGCGUUGUUCGGAAUUACUGGGUGUAAAGGGAGCGGAGGCGGGACUGCAAGUUGGGUGUCAAAUCUACCGGCUCAACCGGUAGCCGCACUCAAAACUGCAGUUCUUGAGUGAAGUAGAGGCAGGCGGAAUUCCUAGUGUAGCGGUGAAAUGCGUAGAUAUUAGGAGGAACACCAGUGGCGAAGGCGGCCUACUGGGCUUUUACUGACGCUGAGGCUCGAAAGUGUGGGGAGCAAACAGGAUUAGAUACCCGGGUAGUC